GAUCCUCUCAUCUCAGCCUCCCAAGUAACUGGGACCACAGGAUUCUAGACUGGGCUGGAGAGGUCCAAUUCUUCACUUUGCAGAAGAGGAAACUGAGGCCCCGAGAGGAGGUGGACCUGGAAGCCGUGACUCUCGCCUUCCUAUUCAGUGCUCUCAAUUCUCCUGAAUUCCAGGAGCCUGGGCUUACCGUAGGAGCCUCCCAUGAAGGCUGGGAUGUGGUUCCCUGAGCAGGGAGGGAGGAACUGGCCUCGGGACAGGCUGCAUGGGUGGCUCUGGCACACUGGCAAAGUCCUGUUUCCUGGGACCUGGGAGGUGGUUUCCUGGGUGUUCACUUUGUAUAACUUAUUAAGCUCUACAUUUAUGGGUUAUUCAAUUUUUGGUAUUUGUGUUAUAUUUCACAAUAAAAAGGGUUUAAAAAUCCUAA
Homo sapiens (human) is the source of this 424-nucleotide long non-coding RNA. RefSeq lists it as uncharacterized. The transcript has 2 exons. The record is from RefSeq and is a predicted model, not a curated record. Lineage: Eukaryota; Metazoa; Chordata; Mammalia; Primates; Hominidae.